This 348-nucleotide ribosomal RNA is filed under the name uncultured bacterium. Its description in RNAcentral is "bacterial SSU rRNA". It matches the Rfam family "Bacterial small subunit ribosomal RNA", at positions 8 to 350 of the family's 1533-position model. The record is from RNAcentral.
AGAGUUUGAUCAUGGCUCAGGAUGAACGCUAGCGACAGGCUUAACACAUGCAAGUCGAGGGGCAGCACAGGGUAGCAACACUUGGGUGGCGACCGGCGCACGGGUGAGUAACGCGUAUGCAACUUACCUAUCAGAGGGGGAUAGCCCGGCGAAAGUCGGAUUAAUGCCCCAUGAAACAGGGGUCCCGCAUGGGAAUAUUUGUUAAAGAUUCAUCGCUGAUAGAUAGGCAUGCGUUCCAUUAGGCAGUUGGCGGGGUAACGGCCCACCAAACCGACGAUGGAUAGGGGUUCUGAGAGGAAGGUCCCCCACAUUGGUACUGAGACACGGACCAAACUCCAACGGGAGGCA